UAAUACGGAGGGUGCGAGCGUUAAUCGGAAUUACUGGGCGUAAAGCGCAUGUAGGCGGUUUGAUCAGUCGGAUGUGAAAUCCCUGGGCUUAACCUAGGAAUGGCAUUCGAUACUGUCAGGCUCGAGUAGGAUAGAGGAGGGGGGAAUUCCGCGUGUAGCAGUGAAAUGCGUAGAGAUGCGGAGGAACACCGAUGGCGAAGGCACCUCUCUGGAUCCAUACUGACGCUCAGAUGCGAAAGCGUGGGGAGCAAACAGGAUUAGAUACCCUGGUAGUCCACGCCCUAAACGAUGUCGACUAGUUGUUGGGAGGGUUUAACUUCUCAGUAACGUAGCUAACGUGAUAAGUCGACCGCCUGGGGAGUACGGCCGCAAGGUUG
RNAcentral lists this ribosomal RNA (377 nucleotides) under uncultured bacterium. RNAcentral describes it as "bacterial SSU rRNA". It matches the Rfam family "Bacterial small subunit ribosomal RNA", at positions 521 to 896 of the family's 1533-position model. The record is from RNAcentral.